Molecule: transfer RNA, 32 nt
Filed under: Aquila nipalensis (steppe eagle)
Lineage: Eukaryota; Metazoa; Chordata; Aves; Accipitriformes; Accipitridae
Description: partial tRNA-Pro
Source: RNAcentral
UGGUGAUAGAGGUUUGAGCCCUUUUUUUCUGA